GUCGAGCGGUAAGGCCCUUCGGGGUACACGAGCGGCGAACGGGUGAGUAACACGUGGGUGAUCUGCCCUGCACUUCGGGAUAAGCCUGGGAAACUGGGUCUAAUACCGGAUAUGACCUCCGAUCGCAUGGUUGGUGGUGGAAAGAUUUAUCGGUGCAGGAUGGGCCCGCGGCCUAUCAGCUUGUUGGUGGGGUAAUGGCCUACCAAGGCGACGACGGGUAGCCGACCUGAGAGGGUGACCGGCCACACUGGGACUGAGACACGGCCCAGACUCCUACGGGAGGCAGCAGUGGGGAAUAUUGCACAAUGGGCGAAAGCCUGAUGCAGCGACGCCGCGUGAGGGACGACGGCCUUCGGGUUGUAAACCUCUUUCAGCAGGGACGAAGCGCAAGUGACGGUACCUGCAGAAGAAGCACCGGCUAACUACGUGCCAGCAGCCGCGGUAAUACGUAGGGUGCAAGCGUUGUCCGGAAUUACUGGGCGUAAAGAGUUCGUAGGCGGUUUGUCACGUCGUUUGUGAAAACUCACAGCUCAACUGUGAGCCUGCAGGCGAUACGGGCAGACUUGAGUACUGCAGGGGAGACUGGAAUUCCUGGUGUAGCGGUGAAAUGCGCAGAUAUCAGGAGGAACACCGGUGGCGAAGGCGGGUCUCUGGGCAGUAACUGACGCUGAGGAACGAAAGCGUGGGUAGCGAACAGGAUUAGAUACCCUGGUAGUCCACGCCGUAAACGGUGGGCGCUAGGUGUGGGUUCCUUCCACGGAAUCCGUGCCGUAGCUAACGCAUUAAGCGCCCCG
RNAcentral lists this ribosomal RNA (794 nucleotides) under Rhodococcus sp. 43AAIII. RNAcentral's name for it is "bacterial SSU rRNA". It matches the Rfam family "Bacterial small subunit ribosomal RNA", at positions 61 to 871 of the family's 1533-position model. The record is from RNAcentral. Lineage: Bacteria; Bacillati; Actinomycetota; Actinomycetes; Mycobacteriales; Nocardiaceae.